Molecule: transfer RNA, 77 nt
Filed under: Minisyncoccota bacterium
Lineage: Bacteria; Bacillati; Minisyncoccota
Description: tRNA-Gly
Rfam family: tRNA
About the family: Transfer RNA (tRNA) molecules are approximately 80 nucleotides in length. Their secondary structure includes four short double-helical elements and three loops (D, anti-codon, and T loops).
Source: RNAcentral
GCGAGAAUAGCUCAGCUGGCUAGAGCGCUUCCUUGCCAAGGAAGAGGUCGCGGGUUCGAAUCCCGUUUCUCGCUCAA